This 200-nucleotide unclassified non-coding RNA is filed under the name Ligustrum ovalifolium. Its description in RNAcentral is "partial ITS2". Lineage: Eukaryota; Viridiplantae; Streptophyta; Magnoliopsida; Lamiales; Oleaceae. The record is from RNAcentral.
CAUAGCGUCGCCCUCCACCUCCGUCCCUAAACGGGUUGUAGGUGUUUGGGUUGGAUAUUGGCCUCCCGUGCAUCUCGGUGUGCGGUUGGCCUAAAUGUGAUUCGGCAUCGACGCAUGUCUCGACAAUUGGUGGUUGAAGACCUCAACUUUCGUUUUGUCGUGCGAGAUUGCGUUGCUUGGCUCGAAUGCGUUGACCCCGA